Molecule: ribosomal RNA, 229 nt
Filed under: uncultured bacterium
Lineage: Bacteria
Description: partial 16S ribosomal RNA
Rfam family: Bacterial small subunit ribosomal RNA
Source: RNAcentral
UGCAGGUGGUUUGUUAAGUUCAGAUGUGAAAGCCCGGGGCUCAACCUCGGAAUAGCAUUUGUAAACUGGCAGACUAGAGUACUGUAGAGGGGGGUAGGAAUUUCAGGUGUAGCGGUGAAAUGCGUAGAGAUCUGAAGGAAUACCGGUGGCGAAGGCGGCCCCCUGGACGGAUACUGACACUCAGAUGCGAAAGCGUGGGGAGCCAAACAGGAUUAGAUACCCCUGGUAG